This 27-nucleotide small RNA is filed under the name Bombyx mori (domestic silkworm). Its description in RNAcentral is "ovarian small RNA-24239". Lineage: Eukaryota; Metazoa; Arthropoda; Insecta; Lepidoptera; Bombycidae. The record is from RNAcentral.
UAUUGCUGUGUGAUGGACAUGUCAAUC